CCAGACAGAGUUAUAAGGUUCCAAAAUUAUUGUUAAGUGAAAAUAAGGUAGUGUUUAUCUAAGCCAACCAGGAAAUGGGCUUAGGAGCGGCCAUUUUUUAAAGACCUCGUAACUGAGCACUGGUUUUAUACAAUUUUGUAUUGUAUUGUUAGAUGCACCUAAAAUUUAACGGAUCUAAAUAAUAUACCGAGACCUUGUCCAUAAAUAUUUAUAUGUACAAGUUACAUAGAAUAUAUAUGGGGUAGCGGAACAUUGGGCAUAUUUCAGAUUUUUUCUUUUUAAGACUUAAGAUUAGAUUACCCAAGUGAUAAUGCUGACAUGAGUAACGAUAAAGGGUUUAUACCCUCGCCUAAAGCUUAUGGAAUUUACUUAAAGUAACGGCCUCUUAGUUUAAAUUUGCUUUACUUUACUGGGUUUUUUAGCUCUAAUUAAAAACGUGAUAAAGUAAAGUUACCUAAUGGUAUAAACGAUGAGAAAAAAAUUUUUUUUCUUUUUGAUAGAAAAAAAAGGAAAAAAUCUAAGUUUUACGGUGAAUAAGAAUGGAUACUUAUGGAAACACAUUGAACGCGUAAAGUUGAAAAGUGUGUUUAAGUUUCUCUAAAGAAAAAAAAAUAUUUAGUAGGUUUGACUAAACACACUAUAUAAAUAAAAACAGCAUUUGUGUUAGUAUGCUAGAGCUAGGGUACCUGUUAAAAUAGUAACUGAAAGUAAGGCGCUAGUUACUAACUAAAGUGACAAAUGCUCUGGAAAAACGUAAAACUACAUGAAUUAGAGUAUAGACGAGGCGGAUCGUCCCUUGUCUAUUAUUUUUUUUUUAGUUUCCCAAAAAAAAAAUAAAAAAAUACC
Molecule: ribosomal RNA, 846 nt
Filed under: Rhizocarpon geographicum
Lineage: Eukaryota; Fungi; Ascomycota; Lecanoromycetes; Rhizocarpales; Rhizocarpaceae
Description: partial large subunit ribosomal RNA
Rfam family: Bacterial large subunit ribosomal RNA (bases 1-318)
Source: RNAcentral